CACGCCCUAAACGAUGUACACUAGUUGUUGUGAGACUUGAUCUUGCAGUAAUGCAGUUAACACAUUAAGUGUACCGCCUGGGGAGUACGGUCGCAAGAUUAAAACUCAAAGGAAUAGACGGGGACCCGCACAAGCGGUGGAGCAUGUGGUUUAAUUCGACGAUACACGAAGAACCUUACCUGGACUUGACAUAGUAAGAACUUUCUAGAGAUAGAUUGGUGUCUGCUUGCAGAAACUUAUAUACAGGUGC
Molecule: ribosomal RNA, 250 nt
Filed under: uncultured bacterium
Lineage: Bacteria
Also listed under: 1 other name
Description: partial 16S ribosomal RNA
Rfam family: Bacterial small subunit ribosomal RNA
Source: RNAcentral